GGGGGAUUAGCUCAGCUGGGAGAGCGCAUCGCUGGCAGCGAUGAGGUCAGGGGUUCGAGCCCCCUAUUCUCCA
This 73-nucleotide transfer RNA is filed under the name Cytobacillus horneckiae. Its description in RNAcentral is "Bacillus horneckiae tRNA". It matches the Rfam family "tRNA". Rfam says of the family: Transfer RNA (tRNA) molecules are approximately 80 nucleotides in length. Lineage: Bacteria; Bacillati; Bacillota; Bacilli; Caryophanales; Bacillaceae. RNAcentral also lists the same sequence under 12 other names. The record is from Rfam by way of RNAcentral.